Long non-coding RNA from Homo sapiens (human), 3421 nucleotides. Ensembl lists it as uncharacterized. The record is from Ensembl. Lineage: Eukaryota; Metazoa; Chordata; Mammalia; Primates; Hominidae.
ACAUGCAUUUCCCUGCUGCUAUGUGAAAUGUGCGUCUUCUCCUUCCGCCAUGAUUAAGUAAGCAAACAUUUUCCUCUAAUUCAGAUUCUUUAAACAAAAGUUGCAAAUGAAUGUAGCCUUCAUCUAUUGUAAAAUUAAAGAUGGAGAUGGUCAAGGGGUUACCGCCAGUCUGUUUCUUGCGCUGAUAAUUUUUCUAGACAUUAAAUCUCACCAUUUGUUCCCAACAAAGAAAGAAAGACAGGACCACCAGACUCUACAGGGAAGCCAAGAGGAAGAAGGGAAGGAGCCCAGAAAUGGAGAGAAGCUGGACUCUAGGGAUGGAUCUGGGGAUGCUCCACAAAGUGCAGCUGUGGAGAAUGCAGAAGAAGAGUUGGCUAGUGGGACAUUCCCACUGAGGAGCAUGGCAGGGGGAAUGUCUAAUAUUCACUAAGAGAAUUCUUGAAAUGUAACAUUUAGAUGAAACUCUUCAAGUUUCCUUAAAAUACAAAUUCAUGACUCUCUUUCUUUCUCUCUCUCUCUUUCUCUCUCUCUUUGGUAUGUUAAAGUAAUCAAGGAAAGGGAUUUUGUUUUAUAACUGGGUUACACAGGGGAGAGACCAGAAUAGCUGAAAGCUGUGAGACAUGAAGAAAAUUCAAGAUUUAGGAGACAUGCAGAACAUCAGUGUCUAGGCAAAAUGGCAGACUGACCAACCCCCACACACUGAAUCCCUAGAGAUAUUAGGACAGGGAUAUUGAGAAAAAUUUACCUUUAAGUUGUAAAGGACAAGGCAACUCAACAUAUUGAAUGCCUUGUUGACAACCAGGGGCUAAUAUUUGGGAUGCAUAUUGGGCAUAGAUGCACAGAAAAUAAUUUAUCAGUGACAUUAAUAAUAUGACAUCUCUUUGUUGAGAAUUUACUGCUGUCUUAAUAUCACAACUCUAAGGGGUCAACAUCCAGAAUAAACUUCUUAUCUUACAUAUUUAAAAUUAUUUGCUAGGCUACAUUUUUCUUAGAAAAAUGCAUAUCUGAAACAGAAUAUUGAUUUUUUUCCUGGGUCAUACAUAAAGACCAUCAGAAAUUAAUUAUUGAAAAAACACUGCUAUACUCAUUAGAGAUAUAUUUUAAUUAGAUUAAUUUUGCAUUAACAGUCCAUGAGAAGUUACAACUAACUUGCAACGAGACAUUAACAUGCAUCAUGUUUGAUAUAAGUAAAAAUGGAAAUGAUUAGAAGUAUACAAAUAUAAAGUAUGUUGCUAGUAUAUGCAAGCUUAAAAAACUUUUACCUGAUAGAAUUAGCAAGAGCAGCUAUGUUGAGCUUCUUUCAGUUAAAAGUCAUUUUCGGCUAUGUCUCCCUAAGGAUAGAAAUAUCACUGCUUUUGAUCUCAUUUAGAAUUCUGCUCACUUUUAGGAAAGUAGGGCUGUUUGGAAAUGGUCAGCCAUAUCCUUACUGAAUUUCCUAGGGCUUGACUGCACCUACUCUAGUUAACAAGUAAGAUAUAGUUAUAUAUUGUAUUAUAACUUCUCAAAGCACUUAUAUUUUGAUUUUCCUUCUUUUAUGUUCAUUAUCUUCAUUUGGACUACUCCAUGUGACAAAAGCAGUUAUUUUUCUUCUACCCCCUAAACUGGACCACAUCGAUGCUCUUAGGUCCAAAUCAUAUUCUUUAAGAAACAAGUGUUCACUGAAUGAUUUACUGCAUUAUAUAAUAGGUACUAUACAAGACACCUGAGGCCCCCCACACCGUGAAAACAGAUGUUUCUUCCUGGAGCUUGCCCAAUAGGAGAGAAAUUUUUAAUUUACCCUUUCUCAGUAAACCAUUAUACAAAACAGAAGUGAAAUUAUGGACCCAGUGAACUCAAUCUGGCUGACUUGCAACCCCUAUGUGUUCAUAAACCCACUGAAAUAUAUAAUUUGUUGUUUAUAUUAAAUAUGCACUGAAGCAUGAUUAGAUAAACAUUGAAAGUAAAUUUUAAUUUUAACCAUCAGUGGAAGUAUAUGGGGUGAUUUAAGUCAUUCAUAUUAGUUUAUUUUUAUCAGGUGUUCCUCCUUGUCCAUAGUGAAAUACAAUACAGAGAUUAUAGCCUGUGGCUUGACAGGACAUCUUAUAGUUGGUAACAGGACUACAUUAAAAGGAAAAAACAAUAAAUAAGGAUGUCUAAUUAUACAGAUAAAGAAAGCAAGUUCACUCACUCCUCCAGGACAGCACCAGAGACAACGUUAGAACCAAGAGUUUCAAAACCUCGCCUUGUAUGGUUUGCCUGAUGCCAUGAUUAAAGAAAAGGGGGUGGGGAACUAAGAGAGGAAGCCAAAGAGAAAGAAUUCAGUACCAAACAGCAAUAUUCAGAUGUUUUAUUAAAUAAUAGGAGGUGUUUUGACCUUGCUGGUGAACAGAGGUGAUCUCAAAACAUUUGACAGAUAUAAUUAAGGCCAUAAGGCAAUAAUUGCAAAAGUCAAGGAGCCCUUGCCACCUCCAAAGCAUCACGUGUGGAUGCAGGAACCAUAUUAACAACAUGGGUAGUCAAGGAGAAAGCAGAUAGAAUAAAGCUGUACCCAGCAAUAUAAAGGGACAUGCAAGUGUGUGUUGUGCUUAAGAGUAAACUUAGGGAAAAAAGCUCCCCAUAACCUCGAGAAACGUUUCUGGAUCUGAGAUAUCCAUUAGCACAUUUAGAAGGUACCUAUUUCCAUUAUUGUGAAGGAGUUGUAAAUGAAAUAAACAACUUUAAAUAAUACCUCCCUUGGUCAAACUGCAUUAAGUAUUCCCUGAUGGAAUUCAUUCAUCAUCAUUCAAACAGAAUGGUUUGCAACUCAACCUGCCUAGUGUGGGGUCUGGAAUUCCCACCACAGUCACUGUGCCUUAAGCACUGUUGCAGCAGAAGGACUUGAAGUAACACAUGAAUAUAUAAUGCCAAUUUGCAUGUCAGCAUGGAUUGUUGAAAUUGAAGUUAGUUAAUUGUCACAUUGUAACAGGAAAAGAAUCCAAGUUUUGGAGCUGGUUGGAACUGAGUUUUCAUCUUCUUUCUCUGCUACUUAACUGUGUUAUCCUGAACAAGAUACUCAACCUCCAUGAGACACAGUGACCAUGUGAAAUAUAUAUGUAAAAUGUCUGGCAAACAUCUGAUUCAUGUAGGUACCCAAAAUUAGAUCAUUUUCAUUUUCUUUUGCUUCCUUGGAAGUUCAAAACAAAAUUCUGAGGUAAGUUUCAAUUAAAAUGGGUCAGGCAGACAGAUUCCAGCAAGGUCAAAGCAUCCUUUUUUCUUUAAUAAAAUAUCUGAAUAUCUGAACAAGAAACAACUUCUGUUUCUCAAGGUUGAAAUGAUGAAUUAUUGAACUUCUGUUGCUGUUUGUUUUCUCUCUUAUCUCCUUACUACUACAUAUAAAUGAGAUAUCUUGCUAUCCCACUGAUAUCUCAAAUUCAGUAUUUCCCAAAUAAAACGUAAUCUUUUC